RNAcentral lists this ribosomal RNA (460 nucleotides) under uncultured bacterium. RNAcentral's name for it is "bacterial SSU rRNA". It matches the Rfam family "Bacterial small subunit ribosomal RNA", at positions 339 to 796 of the family's 1533-position model. The record is from RNAcentral.
CUACGGGAGGCAGCAGUGGGGAAUAUUGGUCAAUGGGCGUAAGCCUGAACCAGCCAUCCCGCGUGAAGGAAGAAGGCGCUAUGCGUCGUAAACUUCUUUUCCAGAAGAAGAAAACCCCCGACGUGUCGGGGCUUGCCGGUACUCUGGGAAUAAGCAUCGGCUAACUCCGUGCCAGCAGCCGCGGUAAUACGGAGGAUGCGAGCGUUAUCCGGAUUUAUUGGGUUUAAAGGGUGCGUAGGCGGAUUAAUAAGUCAGUGGUGAAAACCUUCAGCUUAACUGGAGACCUGCCAUUGAUACUGUUAGUCCUGAGUACGGUCAAGGUAGGCGGAAUGUGUAAUGUAGCGGUGAAAUGCUUAGAUAUUACACAGAACACCGAUUGCGAAGGCAGCUUACUGGGCCAUUACUGACGCUGAUGCACGAAAGCGUGGGGAGCGAACAGGAUUAGAAACCCUAGUAGUCC